UCCCCAAACAUUUCACUUAUACCUAUAUACUGUAUAAGGAAAACCUCAACUCUAAUGUCACAAGGACCUACAGCAAAAACUUAAAUGGGAUUUAUAGUGUCACAUCGUACCUCCCUCUGUCUUUAAGCAUAACUGUGUACUACUGCUGGGUCAAUCACUCAAGCCUGAGCCAACCCAUCGUGGUUAACAUCUCCUUGACUGAGUGUACUGAGGGAGCAGAGCCAUUAACUGGUUUAUCUGUGCGUUAUAUGGUUGUCGGGAUCCUCUUUGGGUUAUUGAUAGUCACCGCGUUGUUCAUUGAAGUCUUUUAUCAACUACUCACUGCACGCCAUCUCUGGUCUACUGCUGAUGCCACUGUUACAACUGAACCUGUCUCACACCCUCAGGUCCAUCAACAACAUGAAUUGAAGCCAAUGCAUCCGCUACAAGAAUAAAUUUUUUUAUUAAAAGUGUCAUAAGGAUCGUGUAACAGCGCAUGUUUUUACACUUUCUGGCCGGCAAUAAACAUUGUUACUGAGGCACAUCACAGGGCCAUAUUAUAAAUAUUCUUCUGUUUAAGACACAUGUCAAAUCACUGACAAAGUUUGACCUUUGAAGUACACAUAUGAAUUUAUUUAAAAUAAAUAUAUUUUCUAAAUCGACAUGGAAGAUAUUUUGAGGAAUUGUGUUUUGUUUGUUUUUGAUAUGUGUUUUGUCAGUUUUAAAUAACUUGUACAUAAAAAACAGCAAGCACUGCUACUUAGCUAUCUCUCUCUCUUUAAGGCAAAUGUAGUAAAACAUAUAAGAACAUCACUUUGAGUCAUAUAACUUUGUUGUGUUUAUAGGCAAGGCUCCUACAGCUUUUCACAAC
Long non-coding RNA from Clarias gariepinus (North African catfish), 850 nucleotides. RefSeq lists it as uncharacterized. Lineage: Eukaryota; Metazoa; Chordata; Actinopteri; Siluriformes; Clariidae. The transcript has 3 exons. The record is from RefSeq and is a predicted model, not a curated record.